CGCAUCUGUGCAUGCAGCAUAUAAUAAGCGGAGGAAAAGUCAACUACCUACGCUUAGGAUGUUGAAGAUGUAGCACAUCAUACACGCAUGACACACUGCAUAUCAAUAAGCGGAGGAAAAGGCUGCGGGAUUGAACGACCGCUACCUACGCUUAGGAUGUUGAAGAUGUAGCACAUCAUACACGCAUCUGUGCAUGCAGCAUAUCAAUAAGCGGAGGAAAAGAAACUAACAAGGAUUCCCCUAGUAACGGCGAGUGAAGCGGGAAGAGCUCAAAUUUGAAAUCUUAAAGGGUUUCCCUUUACGAAUUGUAGUUUAAAGAAGUGUUUUCUGUUGAGGUUUUGGUAAAAGUUCUUUGGAAUAGGACAUCAUAGAGGGUGAGAAUCCCGUAUUUGACCUUUACUUUCAACUUUGUGACACACUUUCAAAGAGUCGGAUUGUUUGGGAAUGCAGUCCAAAAUGGGUGGUAAAUUUCAUCUAAAGCUAAAUAUUGGCGAGAGACCGAUAGCGAACAAGUACCGUGAGGGAAAGAUGAAAAGAACUUUGAAAAGAGAGUUAAACAGUACGUGAAAUUGUCAAAAGGGAAGCGUUUGACACCAGUGUUGUUUUUCUGAAAAUCAAUUAAAGAACUGUUUAUGCUAAGUUGUUUAGACUUUAUCAGCUAACUGUUUAGUUUUGAGCUUUUCUUUAAUGCACUUUUCAGUUAACAAGUCAACAUCAAUUUCUUUUGCUGUAAAAAAGCUUGAGGAAGGUGGCUUGAGAUUCGUCUUAAGUGUUUAUAGCCUCUUGCCUAUGCAGUCGGAGAGAUUGAGGUCUGCAGCGUAGAUCCUUCGGGGCUAAAUGCAUUUGUGCUAAGUUAUAGCAUUUUAUAGACAACUUAUUGACUAUGAUUUGUCUUGUAGCUUACUCGCUUAUGUUAUUUUACCUACGCUUAGGAUGUUGACAGCAGUAUAGACUGU
This 956-nucleotide ribosomal RNA is filed under the name uncultured Neocallimastigales. RNAcentral's name for it is "partial large subunit ribosomal RNA". The stretch from base 166 to 956 matches the Rfam family "Eukaryotic large subunit ribosomal RNA", at positions 1 to 637 of the family's 3401-position model. Lineage: Eukaryota; Fungi; Neocallimastigomycota; Neocallimastigomycetes; Neocallimastigales. The record is from RNAcentral.